RNAcentral lists this long non-coding RNA (547 nucleotides) under Manihot esculenta (cassava). RNAcentral's name for it is "long non-coding RNA (MESC_LNC007732)". The record is from RNAcentral. Lineage: Eukaryota; Viridiplantae; Streptophyta; Magnoliopsida; Malpighiales; Euphorbiaceae.
GUAUAUCUACUUUAGAUUGUUGUAAAUUAGUGACACAUUUUCCGUUGCUUAAUAUAUGUACUAUUACCACCGACGGAGCUAGGGUAUGGUGCACUAAAAAAUUUUGAUAUAGUUUAUGGAAAAGGAUUACCUGUAUGAAUAAAAUUUUGGGCUCUUUAAUAUUUGGUUUUGGUUUGAUAUAGACUAUAUUUUCAAGAUGCUCAAUUGAUCUGUUGAAGUAGCAAGUUGGGAUGAAUGACUUUGGACCAUGAUGCGAAGCAACGUCUUCCUCAUCUCCUGUAGCUCUAUGGUCCUCUGCUCAUCUAUCUGAGUGAACUCCUACAGUCUCUACUGCAGUUGUUUCUCACUCUGCCUCACUCGCACCAAGUUUAUGUACUCGGAGAUCGCCAACCUUGUUCUCUAAUACCUCAUUUGCAAGUGUUGAUGAUAUAGAACAAGAAACGAAAAAUGAGUACAGAUAAAAAGCAUAUGCUUCGAACCCAAUUCAUAUAUAUAUUUUGUUUACUUUCUGAUCAUCUCAGAUUCAGAAGAAGGUAGGGUUUUUUUU